This 450-nucleotide ribosomal RNA is filed under the name uncultured Glomus. Its description in RNAcentral is "SSU rRNA". It matches the Rfam family "Eukaryotic small subunit ribosomal RNA", at positions 569 to 1024 of the family's 1831-position model. The record is from RNAcentral. Lineage: Eukaryota; Fungi; Glomeromycota; Glomeromycetes; Glomerales; Glomeraceae.
AGCAGCCGCGGUAAUUCCAGCUCCAAUAGCGUAUAUUAAAGUUGUUGCAGUUAAAAAGCUCGUAGUUGAACUUCGGGAUCAAUGGAUUGGUCAUGCCAAUGGUGUGUACUGGUCAUAUUGGUUCUCACCUUCUAAGGAACCAUAAUGUCAUUUAUUUGAUGUUGUGGGGAAUUAGGACUGUUACCUUGAAAAAUUAGAGUGUUUAAAGCAGGCUAACGCUUGAAUACAUUAGCAUGGAAUAAUGAAAUAGGACAUCGCAUUCUAUUUUGUUGGUUUCUAGGAUCGAUGUAAUGAUUAAUAGGGAUAGUUGGGGGCAUUAGUAUUCAAUUGUCAGAGGUGAAAUUCUUGGAUUUAUUGAAGACUAACUACUGCGAAAGCAUUUGCCAAGGAUGUUUUCAUUAAUCAAGAACGAAAGUUAGGGGAUCGAAGACGAUCAGAUACCGUCGUAGU